RNAcentral lists this ribosomal RNA (253 nucleotides) under uncultured bacterium. Its description in RNAcentral is "partial 16S ribosomal RNA". It matches the Rfam family "Bacterial small subunit ribosomal RNA", at positions 524 to 776 of the family's 1533-position model. The record is from RNAcentral.
UACAGAGGGUGCAAGCGUUAUUCGGAAUUAUUGGGCGUAAAGAGCGUGUAGGCGGUCUGAUAAGUCUGGUGUGAAAUCCCUGGACUCAAUCCAGGAAGUGCACCGGAUACUGUUAGACUAGAGUACAGGAGAGGAGAGCGGAAUUCCUGGUGUAGAGGUGAAAUUCGUAGAUAUCAGGAGGAACAACAGGGGCGAAGGCGGCUCUCUGGACUGUCACUGACGCUGAUGCGCGAAAGCGUGGGGAGCAAACAGG